UACAGAGGUCUCAAGCGUUGUUCGGAUUCAUUGGGCGUAAAGGGUGCGUAGGCGGCGCGGUAAGUCGGGUGUGAAAUCUUGGAGCUUAACUCCGAAACUGCAUUCGAUACUGCCGUGCUUGAGGACUGGAGAGGAGACUGGAAUUCAUGGUGUAGCAGUGAAAUGCGUAGAGAUCAUGAGGAAGACCAGUGGCGAAGGCGGAUCUCUGGAGAGUUCCUGACGCUGAGGCACGAAGGCCAGGGGAGCGAACGGG
RNAcentral lists this ribosomal RNA (253 nucleotides) under uncultured bacterium. Its description in RNAcentral is "partial 16S ribosomal RNA". It matches the Rfam family "Bacterial small subunit ribosomal RNA", at positions 524 to 776 of the family's 1533-position model. The record is from RNAcentral.